This 253-nucleotide ribosomal RNA is filed under the name uncultured bacterium. RNAcentral describes it as "partial 16S ribosomal RNA". It matches the Rfam family "Bacterial small subunit ribosomal RNA", at positions 524 to 776 of the family's 1533-position model. The record is from RNAcentral.
UACGAAGGGGGCUAGCGUUGCUCGGAAUCACUGGGCGUAAAGCGCACGUAGGCGGAUUGCUAAGUCAGGGGUGAAAUCCUGGAGCUCAACUCCAGAACUGCCUUUGAUACUGGCGAUCUUGAGUCCGGGAGAGGUGAGUGGAACUGCGAGUGUAGAGGUGAAAUUCGUAGAUAUUCGGAAGAACACCAGUGGCGAAGGCGGCUCACUGGCCCGGUACUGACGCUCAGGUGCGAAAGCGUGGGGAGCAAACAGG